UGCAGUCGAACGCUUCUUUUUCCACCGGAGCUUGCUCCACCGGAAAAAGAGGAGUGGCGAACGGGUGAGUAACACGUGGGUAACCUGCCCAUCAGAAGGGGAUAACACUUGGAAACAGGUGCUAAUACCGUAUAACAAUCGAAACCGCAUGGUUUUGAUUUGAAAGGCGCUUUCGGGUGUCGCUGAUGGAUGGACCCGCGGUGCAUUAGCUAGUUGGUGAGGUAACGGCUCACCAAGGCGACGAUGCAUAGCCGACCUGAGAGGGUGAUCGGCCACAUUGGGACUGAGACACGGCCCAAACUCCUACGGGAGGCAGCAGUAGGGAAUCUUCGGCAAUGGACGAAAGUCUGACCGAGCAACGCCGCGUGAGUGAAGAAGGUUUUCGGAUCGUAAAACUCUGUUGUUAGAGAAGAACAAGGAUGAGAGUAACUGUUCAUCCCUUGACGGUAUCUAACCAGAAAGCCACGGCUAACUACGUGCCAGCAGCCCGGUAAUA
RNAcentral lists this ribosomal RNA (496 nucleotides) under Enterococcus hirae. Its description in RNAcentral is "bacterial SSU rRNA". It matches the Rfam family "Bacterial small subunit ribosomal RNA", at positions 56 to 525 of the family's 1533-position model. Lineage: Bacteria; Bacillati; Bacillota; Bacilli; Lactobacillales; Enterococcaceae. The record is from RNAcentral.